RNAcentral lists this ribosomal RNA (523 nucleotides) under uncultured bacterium. Its description in RNAcentral is "partial 16S ribosomal RNA". It matches the Rfam family "Bacterial small subunit ribosomal RNA", at positions 28 to 523 of the family's 1533-position model. The record is from RNAcentral.
GACGAACGCUGGCGGCGUGCCUAAUACAUGCAAGUCGAACGCUUUUUCUUUCACCGGAGCUUGCUCCAUCGAAAGAAUAAGAGUGGCGAACGGGUGAGUAACACGUGGGUAACCUGCCCAUCAGAAGGGGAUAACACUUGGAAACAGGUGCUAAUACCGUAUAACACUAUUUUCCGCAUGGAAGAAAGUUGAAAGGCGCUUUUGCGUCACUGAUGGAUGGACCCGCGGUGCAUUAGCUAGUUGGUGAGGUAACGGCUCACCAAGGCAACGAUGCAUAGCCGACCUGAGAGGGUGAUCGGCCACACUGGGACUGAGACACGGCCCAGACUCCUACGGGAGGCAGCAGUAGGGAAUCUUCGGCAAUGGACGAAAGUCUGACCGAGCAACGCCGCGUGAGUGAAGAAGGUUUUCGGAUCGUAAACCUCUGUUGUUAGAGAAGAACAAGGAUGAGAGUAAAAUGAACGUACCUUGACGGUACCUUAUUAGAAAGCCACGGCUAACUACGUGCCAGCCGCCGCGGUAA